GGGCAACCCUGAUCCAGCCAUGCCGCGUGAGUGAAGAAGGCCUUCGGGUUGUAAAGCUCUUUCGGCCGGGAAGAAAUCGUGCAGGCUAAUACCCUGUAUGGAUGACGGUACCGGAAUAAGAAGCCCCGGCUAACUACGUGCCAGCAGCCGCGGUAAUACGUAGGGGGCAAGCGUUAUCCGGAUUUACUGGGUGUAAAGGGAGCGUAGGUGGUUCGGCAAGUCAGAUGUGAAAGCCCGGGGCUCAACCCCGGGACUGCAUUUGAAACUGUCGGGCUAGAGUGCAGGAGAGGUAAGUGGAAUUCCUAGUGUAGCGGUGAAAUGCGUAGAUAUUAGGAGGAACACCAGUGGCGAAGGCGGCUUACUGGACUGUAACUGACACUGAGGCUCGAAAGCGUGGGGAGCAAACA
Molecule: ribosomal RNA, 407 nt
Filed under: uncultured Eubacteriales bacterium
Lineage: Bacteria; Bacillati; Bacillota; Clostridia; Eubacteriales
Description: bacterial SSU rRNA
Rfam family: Bacterial small subunit ribosomal RNA
Source: RNAcentral